GCCUCGACGGCGCAGUAGGCAGCGCGUGAGUCUCAUCAUCUCAAGGUCCUGAGUUCGAUCCUCACUCGGGGCA
This 73-nucleotide transfer RNA is filed under the name Branchiostoma floridae (Florida lancelet). Its description in RNAcentral is "tRNA-Met (CAT) (tRNA-Met-CAT-5-1)". It matches the Rfam family "tRNA". Rfam says of the family: Transfer RNA (tRNA) molecules are approximately 80 nucleotides in length. The record is from Rfam by way of RNAcentral. Lineage: Eukaryota; Metazoa; Chordata; Leptocardii; Amphioxiformes; Branchiostomatidae.